CGGGCUGAGUGCGGUUACCGCUCCGCCUCCCUCCGCCGCCAUUUACUGCGCUCCAACCCCGCCGCGGACGUGCCAGCACUAACACUGACAGCGGUCGCAGCAACGGCAGCAACAGCGACGGCAGCAGCAGCGCCAGACCCGGAUGUGAGGCCGAAGAUGAGGAAACUGAGCCUAAGAGGGCCAUACAACUAGUAACUAUCUGAGGCAGAAUUUGAACUCAUCUCUUCCUGACUCCAAGUCCAGUACUCCAGCCAUUGUGCCAUCUUUAUAUAUUACAGAAUAAUAAAGUGGAGGAAUUCCAUGGAGACUGGAACAACCUCCAGGAAUUGAUGCAGAGCAAAAGGAGCAGAACCAGGAGAACAUUGUACACAGAGACUGAUACACUGUGGUACAAUAGAAGGAGUCUCCAGGACCAAGGAGAACUUGAGAAUAGCCUGUACUUUCUAGAGUUGGAUUUUCUCUUCCACCAGAGACCUCAAAUCUUGAUCCGUGCAAACAAAAAUAAAAAUUCCUGAAUGUUUUGCUUAAAAGAAAUCCCAUCCAAUCUAAAAUCAACUCAGAAAUGUACCUUGGCUGCCUCUAUCCUGGAGGCCCCUCCCUCCCUCUGAUUGGAGGGGGUGUAGAAUGGACAUUGGAGGACUCAUCCCAGAUGCACCAUUAUUAAAGGAUGGCACCCAGGUAAUUCUCUUCAUCAUUUCCUACCUGACUACUUCCCUGGACUUCAUCAUCUUCAGAAAUUAAUCAUUCUUCAAGAUGAAAUUGACAUUUCCUACUCUGACUAAAUGACUUCAUCAGGUAUACCACCAUUGGAUUGUGAGCUCCUUGAGGGUAUGGACUGCCUUAUACUCCUCUUUAUAUCCUCAACACUUAGCACAGUUCUUUGCACAUAAACAGCAUUUAAUAAAUGAUUUUUGACUCUAACUCUAAAGACUCA
RNAcentral lists this long non-coding RNA (934 nucleotides) under Monodelphis domestica (gray short-tailed opossum). Its description in RNAcentral is "lncRNA (ENSMODG00000048538.1)". Lineage: Eukaryota; Metazoa; Chordata; Mammalia; Didelphimorphia; Didelphidae. The record is from RNAcentral.